Molecule: ribosomal RNA, 492 nt
Filed under: uncultured bacterium
Lineage: Bacteria
Description: partial 16S ribosomal RNA
Rfam family: Bacterial small subunit ribosomal RNA
Source: RNAcentral
GACGAACGCUGGCGGCGUGCCUAACACAUGCAAGUUGAGCGACGAACCAGGGCUUGCCCUGGGGCAAAGCAGCGAACGGGUGAGUAACACGUGGUAACCUACCCCGAUAACCGGGACAACCCGAGGAAACUCGGGCUAAUACCGGAUGUGCUCACUGGACUUCGGUUCAGUGCGUAAAGGAAGCUUCGGCCUCCGUAUCGGGAGGGGCCCGCGGCCCAUUAGUUUGUUGGUGAGGUAACGGCUCACCAAGACCGCGAUGGGUAGCUGGUCUGAGAGGACGAUCAGCCACACUGGGACUGAGACACGGCCCAGACUCCUACGGGAGGCAGCAGUGGGGAAUCUUGCGCAAUGCGCGAAAGCGUGACGCAGCAACGCCGCGUGGGGGAAGAAGGCCUUCGGGUUGUAAACCCCUUUCAGGAGGGACGAAGGUUCGGCGGUGAAUAGCCGUCCGGACUGACGGUACCUCCACAAGAAGCCCCGGCUAACUACGUG